This 878-nucleotide long non-coding RNA is filed under the name Canis lupus familiaris (dog). Its description in RNAcentral is "lncRNA (ENSCAFG00040000219.1)". Lineage: Eukaryota; Metazoa; Chordata; Mammalia; Carnivora; Canidae. The record is from RNAcentral.
GGUGGUGGUGGCUGGUUAUGAUGGGAAUUUUAAGGUGUGUGAGUCAGCACUGUAAGGAUAUUCUUUAAAAAACUUUGUGAAAGAAAGGCUACAUUGAGGAUAUUGCUAGAAAGAUCAGUUGUAGCAUCAAGGAAACAGCCUUUAAGUCAGUUACACCUGUGUAUCUUUGAAGAUAUGGAGCUCAAACCUGGGAGAAGAGGUUGCAGAUUUUGAGAAGGGAAUGGAUAGAUAGAAGAACUAGAUCCCCUAAAAAUCAUGGUACCCUGGGAAGAUCAGCCUCACUGGGAUUCAAGUUCGUCAGCUGAAAAAGAGGGGGAGACAUUAAAUAAUCUGCUUGAUAGCAUGAGCUAAGAGCAAUUGAUUUCACAAAGCAAUUGAAAGGAUAAAGAGAAACACAAAUUAUGGAAAAUGUACCAGGCACAGGUGAAUAAAUACUACAAUAUUAAUAAAGCUCUAAAAUGCUUAGAAUUAGUUUGAAGCUUUCUCUCUGAUUAAUGUUUAACGUGUGUGUCUGUGUUUUUUUUUUUUUUUAAUUUCCAAAGAAGUUAAGGAUAGUAUAAGGAAGAAGUGGGAAACAUAUAAAGAAGCUAAAUCAGGGAUGCCUGGGUGGCUCAGCAGUUGAGCAUCUGCCUUCAGCUCAGGGAGUGAUCACAGGGUCCCGGGAUCCAAUCCCGCACCAGGCUCCCUGCAUGGAGCCUGCUUCUCCCUCUGCCUCUCUCUGUGUGUCUCACAUGAAUAAAUAAAUAAAAUAUUUUUUAAAAAAGAAGCUAAAUCACUUGUAACCCCACUACUAGGGUCAGCACCAUAUUAAUGUUCCCCCCAAUUCCUUCUAGUCUUUAAAACAUAUAUGUAAUAUAUAUUAUGUGCAUAAUAUAUAA